CAUGCCAUAAACGAUGUGUGCUAGUUAUUAGAGAUUCAUCUUUGGUGACGCAGCUAACGCAUUAAGCACACCGCCUGGGGAGUACGGUCGCAAGAUUAAAACUCAAAGGAAUUGACGGGGGCCCGCACAAGCGGUGGAGUAUGUUCAUUAAUUCGACGCAACGCGAAAAACCUUACCUACGCUUGACAUGUCCGGACGACUUUCAGAGAUGAUUGUCUUCCCGCAAGGGACUGGAACACAGGUGC
Molecule: ribosomal RNA, 245 nt
Filed under: uncultured Pseudomonadota bacterium
Lineage: Bacteria; Pseudomonadati; Pseudomonadota
Description: uncultured proteobacterium partial 16S ribosomal RNA
Rfam family: Bacterial small subunit ribosomal RNA
Source: RNAcentral